This 433-nucleotide ribosomal RNA is filed under the name uncultured Anaerostipes sp. Its description in RNAcentral is "partial 16S ribosomal RNA". It matches the Rfam family "Bacterial small subunit ribosomal RNA", at positions 341 to 792 of the family's 1533-position model. The record is from RNAcentral. Lineage: Bacteria; Bacillati; Bacillota; Clostridia; Lachnospirales; Lachnospiraceae.
ACGGAAGGCGCAGUGGGGAAUAUUGCACAAUGGGGGAAACCCUGAUGCAGCGACGCCGCGUGAGCGAUGAAGUAUUUCGGUAUGUAAAGCUCUAUCAGCAGGGAAGAUAAUGACGGUACCUGACUAAGAAGCCCCGGCUAACUACGUGCCAGCAGCCGCGGUAAUACGUAGGGGGCAAGCGUUAUCCGGAUUUACUGGGUGUAAAGGGAGCGCAGGCGGUUUUUUAAGUCUGAUGUGAAAGCCCGUGGCUCAACUGCGGGACUGCAUUGGAAACUGGAGAACUAGAGUGUCGGAGGGGCAAGUGGAAUUCCUAGUGUAGCGGUGAAAUGCGUAGAUAUUAGGAGGAACACCAGUGGCGAAGGCGGCUUACUGGACUGUAACUGACGUUGAGGCUCGAAGGCGUGGGGAGCAAACAGGAUUAGAUACCCUGGUA